ACCAGAAUCUCCACUUCUGAGCUGCGGAUGCACAAGACAAAAGGAAGUGAACCCAUGACUGGUCUCAGGUCUGCAGAUGCCUAACAGCAAACAGCCCCAUCCACCCCCGGUUGAGGAGAGGAGGGGGCUGUGGCUGCAGACAGACCUCAUAUGUCUCUAAUCUGCCACCUAUGGCCUGUUUGACCCU
Molecule: non-coding RNA, 187 nt
Filed under: Pan troglodytes (chimpanzee)
Lineage: Eukaryota; Metazoa; Chordata; Mammalia; Primates; Hominidae
Source: RNAcentral